CCUUCGGGUGAGUGGCGGACGGGUGAGUAACACGUGGGAACGUGCCUUUUGGUUCGGAAUAAUCCGGGGAAGCCUGGCCUAAUACCGGAUGUGCCCUUCGGGGGAAAGAUUUAUCGCCAUUAGAGCGGCCCGCGUCUGAUUAGCUAGUUGGUGGGGUAAAGGCCCACCAAGGCUACGAUCAGUAGCUGGUCUGAGAGGAUGAUCAGCCACACUGGGACUGAGACACGGCCCAGACUCCUACGGGAGGCAGCAGUAGGGAAUCUUGCGCAAUGGGGGAAACCCUGACGCAGCCAUGCCGCGUGAAUGAUGAAGGUCUUAGGA
This 321-nucleotide ribosomal RNA is filed under the name uncultured bacterium. RNAcentral's name for it is "bacterial SSU rRNA". It matches the Rfam family "Bacterial small subunit ribosomal RNA", at positions 84 to 422 of the family's 1533-position model. The record is from RNAcentral.